UGGGGAAUUUUGGACAAUGGGCGAAAGCCUGAUCCAGCAAUGCCGCGUGUGUGAAGAAGGCCUUCGGGUUGUAAAGCACUUUUGUCCGGAAAGAAAUCCUUGGCUCUAAUACAGUCGGGGGAUGACGGUACCGGAAGAAUAAGCACCGGCUAACUACGUGCCAGCAGCCGCGGUAAUACGUAGGGUGCAAGCGUUAAUCGGAAUUACUGGGCGUAAAGCGUGCGCAGGCGGUUUGCUAAGACCGAUGUGAAAUCCCGGGCUCAACCUGGGAACUGCAUUGGUGACUGGCAGGCUAGAGUAUGGCAGAGGGGGGUAGAAUUCCACGUGUAGCAGUGAAAUGCGUAGAGAUGUGGAGGAAUACCGAUGGCGAAGGCAGCCCCCUGGGCCAAUACUGACGCUCAUGCACGAAAGCGUGGGGGAGCAAACAGGAUUAGAUACCCUGGUAGUCCACGCCCUAAACGAUGUCAACUAGUUGUUGGGGAUUCAUUUCCUUAGUAACGUAGCUAACGCGUGAAGUUGACCGCCUGGGGAGUACGGUCGCAAGAUUAAAACUUAAAGGAAUUGACGGGGUCAUA
RNAcentral lists this ribosomal RNA (575 nucleotides) under uncultured bacterium. RNAcentral describes it as "partial 16S ribosomal RNA". It matches the Rfam family "Bacterial small subunit ribosomal RNA", at positions 355 to 923 of the family's 1533-position model. The record is from RNAcentral.